This 175-nucleotide small RNA is filed under the name Mus spicilegus (steppe mouse). RNAcentral describes it as "TUC338 (ENSMSIG00000010541.1)". The record is from RNAcentral. Lineage: Eukaryota; Metazoa; Chordata; Mammalia; Rodentia; Muridae.
UUGACAGCUCUGGAAAUAGAUGGCCUCUUUCUCUCCGAAGAAUAGAUACAGCCUGAUAAACAGAGGUGUUCCUUCAACUACUUCUUCAAUAAGCCUUCACCCUGAUAAAGCAGUGGCUGAAGAAAGACAGAAAGAGCAGUCACCUCUUCCAGCCAGCUCUCUCCACACUGCCAUU